This 28-nucleotide non-coding RNA is filed under the name Mus musculus (house mouse). Lineage: Eukaryota; Metazoa; Chordata; Mammalia; Rodentia; Muridae. The record is from RNAcentral.
UGGCAAACAAGGGAUCCUAAGGCCGAUA